GGUUAAGCGACUAAGCGUACACGGUGGAUGCCCUGGCAGUCAGAGGCGAUGAAGGACGUGCUAAUCUGCGAUAAGCGUCGGUAAGGUGAUAUGAACCGUUAUAACCGGCGAUUUCCGAAUGGGGAAACCCAGUGUGUUUCGACACAUUAUCAUUAACUGAAUCCAUAGGUUAAUGAGGCGAACCGGGGGAACUGAAACAUCUAAGUACCCCGAGGAAAAGAAAUCAACCGAGAUUCCCCCAGUAGCGGCGAGCGAACGGGGAGCAGCCCAGAGCCUGAAUCAGUGUGUGUGUUAGUGGAAGCGUCUGGAAAGGCGCGCGAUACAGGGUGACAGCCCCGUACACAAAAAUGCACAUGCUGUGAGCUCGAUGAGUAGGGCGGGACACGUGGUAUCCUGUCUGAAUAUGGGGGGACCAUCCUCCAAGGCUAAAUACUCCUGACUGACCGAUAGUGAACCAGUACCGUGAGGGAAAGGCGAAAAGAACCCCGGCGAGGGGAGUGAAAAAGAACCUGAAACCGUGUACGUACAAGCAGUGGGAGCACGCUUAGGCGUGUGACUGCGUACCUUUUGUAUAAUGGGUCAGCGACUUAUAUUCUGUAGCAAGGUUAACCGAAUAGGGGAGCCGAAGGGAAACCGAGUCUUAACUGGGCGUUAAGUUGCAGGGUAUAGACCCGAAACCCGGUGAUCUAGCCAUGGGCAGGUUGAAGGUUGGGUAACACUAACUGGAGGACCGAACCGACUAAUGUUGAAAAAUUAGCGGAUGACUUGUGGCUGGGGGUGAAAGGCCAAUCAAACCGGGAGAUAGCUGGUUCUCCCCGAAAGCUAUUUAGGUAGCGCCUCGUGAAUUCAUCUCCGGGGGUAGAGCACUGUUUCGGCAAGGGGGUCAUCCCGACUUACCAACCCGAUGCAAACUGCGAAUACCGGAGAAUGUUAUCACGGGAGACACACGGCGGGUGCUAACGUCCGUCGUGAAGAGGGAAACAACCCAGACCGCCAGCUAAGGUCCCAAAGUCAUGGUUAAGUGGGAAACGAUGUGGGAAGGCCCAGACAGCCAGGAUGUUGGCUUAGAAGCAGCCAUCAUUUAAAGAAAGCGUAAUAGCUCACUGGUCGAGUCGGCCUGCGCGGAAGAUGUAACGGGGCUAAACCAUGCACCGAAGCUGCGGCAGCGACGCUGAUGCGUUGUUGGGUAGGGGAGCGUUCUGUAAGCCUGCGAAGGUGUGCUGUGAGGCAUGCUGGAGGUAUCAGAAGUGCGAAUGCUGACAUAAGUAACGAUAAAGCGGGUGAAAAGCCCGCUCGCCGGAAGACCAAGGGUUCCUGUCCAACGUUAAUCGGGGCAGGGUGAGUCGACCCCUAAGGCGAGGCCGAAAGGCGUAGUCGAUGGGAAACAGGUUAAUAUUCCUGUACUUGGUAUUACUGCGAAGGGGGGACGGAGAAGGCUAUGUUGGCCGGGCGACGGUUGUCCCGGUUUAAACGUGUAGGCUGGUUUUCCAGGCAAAUCCGGAAAAUCAAGGCUGAGGCGUGAUGACGAGGCACUACGGUGCUGAAGCAACAAAUGCCCUGCUUCCAGGAAAAGCCUCUAAGCAUCAGGUAACAUCAAAUCGUACCCCAAACCGACACAGGUGGUCAGGUAGAGAAUACCAAGGCGCUUGAGAGAACUCGGGUGAAGGAACUAGGCAAAAUGGUGCCGUAACUUCGGGAGAAGGCACGCUGAUAUGUAGGUGAAGUCCCUCGCGGAUGGAGCUGAAAUCAGUCGAAGAUACCAGCUGGCUGCAACUGUUUAUUAAAAACACAGCACUGUGCAAACACGAAAGUGGACGUAUACGGUGUGACGCCUGCCCGGUGCCGGAAGGUUAAUUGAUGGGGUCAGCGCAAGCGAAGCUCUUGAUCGAAGCCCCGGUAAACGGCGGCCGUAACUAUAACGGUCCUAAGGUAGCGAAAUUCCUUGUCGGGUAAGUUCCGACCUGCACGAAUGGCGUAAUGAUGGCCAGGCUGUCUCCACCCGAGACUCAGUGAAAUUGAACUCGCUGUGAAGAUGCAGUGUACCCGCGGCAAGACGGAAAGACCCCGUGAACCUUUACUAUAGCUUGACACUGAACAUUGAGCCUUGAUGUGUAGGAUAGGUGGGAGGCUUUGAAGUGUGGACGCCAGUCUGCAUGGAGCCGACCUUGAAAUACCACCCUUUAAUGUUUGAUGUUCUAACGUUGACCCGUAAUCCGGGUUGCGGACAGUGUCUGGUGGGUAGUUUGACUGGGGCGGUCUCCUCCUAAAGAGUAACGGAGGAGCACGAAGGUUGGCUAAUCCUGGUCGGACAUCAGGAGGUUAGUGCAAUGGCAUAAGCCAGCUUGACUGCGAGCGUGACGGCGCGAGCAGGUGCGAAAGCAGGUCAUAGUGAUCCGGUGGUUCUGAAUGGAAGGGCCAUCGCUCAACGGAUAAAAGGUACUCCGGGGAUAACAGGCUGAUACCGCCCAAGAGUUCAUAUCGACGGCGGUGUUUGGCACCUCGAUGUCGGCUCAUCACAUCCUGGGGCUGAAGUAGGUCCCAAGGGUAUGGCUGUUCGCCAUUUAAAGUGGUACGCGAGCUGGGUUUAGAACGUCGUGAGACAGUUCGGUCCCUAUCUGCCGUGGGCGCUGGAGAACUGAGGGGGGCUGCUCCUAGUACGAGAGGACCGGAGUGGACGCAUCACUGGUGUUCGGGUUGUCAUGCCAAUGGCACUGCCCGGUAGCUAAAUGCGGAAGAGAUAAGUGCUGAAAGCAUCUAAGCACGAAACUUGUCCCGAGAUGAGUUCUCCCUGACUCCUUGAGAGUCCUGAAGGAACGUUGAAGACGACGACGUUGAUAGGCCGGGUGUGUAAGCGCAGCGAUGCGUUGAGCUAACCGGUACUAAUGAACCGUGAGGCUUAACCUU
This 2904-nucleotide ribosomal RNA is filed under the name Escherichia coli. RNAcentral's name for it is "23S ribosomal RNA". It matches the Rfam family "Bacterial large subunit ribosomal RNA". The record is from RNAcentral. Lineage: Bacteria; Pseudomonadati; Pseudomonadota; Gammaproteobacteria; Enterobacterales; Enterobacteriaceae.